RNAcentral lists this ribosomal RNA (274 nucleotides) under uncultured bacterium. RNAcentral describes it as "partial 16S ribosomal RNA". It matches the Rfam family "Bacterial small subunit ribosomal RNA", at positions 523 to 796 of the family's 1533-position model. The record is from RNAcentral.
AGACGAAGGUGGCAACCGUUGUUCGGAAUCACUGGGCAUAAAGAGCACGUAGGCGGACACGUAAGUCGGGUGUGAAAUCCCUCGGCCCAACCGAGGAACUGCGCCCGAAACUGUGUGCCUUGAGGACGGGAGGGGAGCGUGGAAUUCCUGGUGGAGCGGUGAAAUGCGUUGAUAUCAGGGGGAACACCGGCGGCGAAGGCGACGCUCUGGCCCGUUUCUGACGCUGAGGUGCGAAAGCUAGGGGAGCAAACGGGAUUAGAAACCCCGGUAGUCC